UCCUUGAAGCACCAAAUUCUCUGAAUGGUU
RNAcentral lists this non-coding RNA (30 nucleotides) under Rattus norvegicus (Norway rat). The record is from RNAcentral. Lineage: Eukaryota; Metazoa; Chordata; Mammalia; Rodentia; Muridae.